UACAGAGGGGGCAAGCGUUGUUCGGAAUUACUGGGCGUAAAGGGCGCGUAGGCGGCCUGCUAAGUCGAUCGUGAAAUCCCCGGGCUUAACCCGGGAACUGCGACCGAUACUGGUUGGCUUGAAUUCGGGAGAGGGAUGCGGAAUUCCAGGUGUAGCGGUGAAAUGCGUAGAUAUCUGGAGGAACACCGGUGGCGAAGGCGGCAUCCUGGACCGGUAUUGACGCUGAGGCGCGAAAGCCAGGGGAGCAAACGGG
Molecule: ribosomal RNA, 253 nt
Filed under: uncultured bacterium
Lineage: Bacteria
Description: partial 16S ribosomal RNA
Rfam family: Bacterial small subunit ribosomal RNA
Source: RNAcentral